GACCUUGGUGCCGACGAGUGGCGGACGGGUGAGUAAUACUUAGGAAUCUGCCCAGUAGUGGGGGCAAACAUUCGGAAACGGAUGCUAAUACCGCAGUACGCCCGUACGGGGAAAGCGGGGGAUCGUUCGGACCUCGCGCUAUUGGAUGAGCCUAAGUCGGAUUAGCUUGUUGGUGAGGUAACGGCUCACCAAGGCGACGAUCCGUAGCGUGGUCUGAGAGGACGAUCAGCCACACGUGGGACUGAGACGACCGGCCCAGACUCCGUACGGGAGGCAGCAGGUGGGAAUAGUUGGACAAGUGGGGCAACCCUGAUCCAGCAAUGCCGCGUGUGUGAAGAAGGCCUGCGGGUUGUAAAGCACUUUCAGUAGAGAAGAAAGCCUAGGGUUAAUACCCCUGAGUCUUGACGUAACCUACAGAAGAAGCACCGGCUAACUCCGUG
RNAcentral lists this ribosomal RNA (440 nucleotides) under uncultured bacterium. RNAcentral describes it as "bacterial SSU rRNA". It matches the Rfam family "Bacterial small subunit ribosomal RNA", at positions 78 to 507 of the family's 1533-position model. The record is from RNAcentral.